CUCUCAAAAUGCAGGUUGACUCGGUGGUCGCACUGUUCAUUUCCCUGUAUGAAUAGAAUUAAUAGUAGUGUAGUGUUGAGAAAGUGGUUAUGAUGACAUCGAUCCCGUGAUGUGCGAGUGGGAGAUGUUGGCAUUCGGUUAAAUAGAAUCAGGUACUCCCAUAAUCGGGCUCGAUUCGACGGUUAUUACGUUGUCUAAGUGGAUUAGAAUUAAUCUCGCUUUUAAAAUUGGAAAGCUAAUUAGAGAUAAAUUCUAACCAUAUUAGGAUAAUAAUUAUAAACCGAAUUGGCCUUAUCUCUUACGUACCUAUUAGGAUUUUGAAAUCCCUUAUAAAUAUACGGGCUAUCUCUUAUAAGAGAAACAACAAGAAAACCAA
Molecule: long non-coding RNA, 376 nt
Filed under: Ananas comosus (pineapple)
Lineage: Eukaryota; Viridiplantae; Streptophyta; Magnoliopsida; Poales; Bromeliaceae
Description: long non-coding RNA (ACOM_LNC000899)
Source: RNAcentral